Junco hyemalis (dark-eyed junco) is the source of this 2329-nucleotide long non-coding RNA. NCBI's taxonomy places the organism in Eukaryota, Metazoa, Chordata, Aves, Passeriformes, Passerellidae. The record is from Ensembl.
GCCGGGCUGCGGCCCCCAGCGCUCGGCUCCGGAGCGGCGCCCAGGCGGCCGCAACAGGCGCGGCCCCGGCCCCGGCCCCGGCCCCGGCCCCGCCGCCGCUCCGCCCGGGCCCCGGUAGAGGCCGAGCCGGCGGCGCCCCCGCUCCCCCAGCCCCGGCGGGGCCCGCGCGGCUCCGGGCCCGACCCGCGCAGGCCGAGCGGCACCGCCCGCCCCAGCCCGGCCCCAGCCCAGCCCGGCCCGGCCCGGCCCGGCCCGCGCACAAAGAGCCCCGGCCCGCCCCCCCUUACCGGCGGUCGGCGCCGCGCUGCGGGGGCGGCGGCGGGCGGCUCCAGUCACGCCGGGAACCAUGGAAAGGAGCCGGGACGGGAGACAGACCAGAGCGAGACUGUGAACAGCAGCAGCUCAGAGCCUCCACUUCCCUCCCGGCUCUCCAAACCUUCCAGACAUGCUGCGGGAAGAACUCCACACUGCUGAGCACCACGGCCUCCCACAGCACCCUGCCACAGCCAGAGACUGCUCGGGUGCUCGGCCGUGGCUGCGGGAGCCCGAGCACAGCUGUGGGAUGGGCCAGAGCUCUCACAGGACAGCUCUUCGUGCUGGGAGUUGUCCUGAUCCAUCAUUUCAUCUGUGUCUGGGAGAUGAGCAGUCCUGGGUAAAGAUGUGGAAGGCUCUGACAGGGAACACAGAGUAGGAGUGGAAAUACUGGAGGCAAACCUUCGGUUUUCAGCGCCCACUGAACAUGUGCCUCAUCAUUCUCUUCCCCAAGUUAGCGCAGAUCAGACUCUUCAAGGCACAGCGCCUUGCAGUGAGCUUUGGUGGCUGCAAUCUCCUCCUAAUCCAGGCUUGUUUCAGAGAAAACAGGCAAUUUUAUAUCCCUUUGAUAUGGAUCUUAGCUGCUAAUGAUGCUAGGAAGUAAAGAGAAAUGGCAGAGAAAUACACAACUAUGAAGAGUUAAAAUAGUGAAUUUAAUUCAGCCAAUUCCAACAAAAUUGGUAAUUCCCUGAAAAACAAACCUUGCACAGAAAACACAGAACAGAAAUGGUUUCAUCUUGACAGCUGGUGAAAACAACUGGGUGAAAAGGUGAAUGGAAUAUUUCUGACUUCUCUGGAAAACACAAGGUUUCACACAUCCUGAAAAUGCCCUAUUUUUUACUAAAUGGGUCGGUUUGUGAGGCAGUGAUUGUAAAUGCUCUGAACUGCAGAUGCCAAAUGUCUGGUUUUCAGAAAGCACUGAUGCUUCCCUAAAGGAAAAGCUGGGACUUCUAAAAAUCACAGAAACCUGGAACAGUUUGGGCUGGAAGGGAAACUCAAGGCUCAUCCCACUCUAAGCCCCCACCAGAGCAGGGACACAUUGCACUAGACUAGCCCAGAAACCUGAAGAACAACAAGAAAACAUGUAUUAUUCUCAGACUCAUCAGCCUGGCUUGCCCUGCCCAGUGGCCCUGCUCGGGGCUCCAGGCGAUGCAGAGUGCGAUGGGAGGAAGGACAGGAGUGUCGCCAGGCGUGUGGAGGGAGCUGGCUGGACAGCCUGGCCCAGCUCCUCAGCUCUGAAACACUCUUUCCAAAGCAAUACCAAAAAAGGUUUGUUUCUAGGUCAGGACCUCAGCACUCAAUUUUAACCAGGGGCUGACAGUCCAAUCUGAGCACAGCUGUAAAAUGGAUUUGCGGGAGAAGCUUUGGCAUUCCUUUUGUAAUUAGAAAACAGCCACUGAGGCGUGUGCCUUUAAAGGUGAAAGCUAUUUUUGACAUAAAAAUUAGCACGUAGUUCCUCUGUCAUCCCUCGGCUGCUGCGCUGGGAGCUGUGAGUGAACAAUCCAAAGAUAAGCAAGAAGUAUAAACAUGCUGAAUUACACAAAUACGUAGAAGGGGAUCAGGUUUCAUUUGUUUUAUUCUCUGACAGUUAGGAGACAAGGAGAUUUAUUCUUACACUUUUUCUCCUAAAAAGCACUGGUUAAAAGGUCCACUUAAGCACUGAAACCCCAAUGGCAUUAAAAAACUUGAAGAGCUUUUAAUAGCAACCUUUUGAAAUUACUGUUACAUCUAUUUUUGAGAUGGAUAAACUAAGCUACCAAUGAAGCAGGGCAGGAGUUUUUGGAAGGGCCCAGCAGUGAGAAACUGUCAUUCAUUUCUCAAGUCAGCUCCUGCACAGGGACCCUGAGACAAAUACCACAGUGCUCGACGCUUGAACAACCUGAGCGUUCUUUAAAUUCCAAUUUUCUCUCUUUGGUGGGAAUCUAACCCCGACAGCCUUGAAAAUGAACCCCAGGCAGUUUUCAGGAUAGGGCUCAGAGUGGCUGUUUCUAAAAUAAAAGUGAGGGAAGAGCGAGCA